GACGAACGCUGGCGGCGUGCUUAACACAUGCAAGUCGAACGGAAAGGCCCUGCUUUUGUGGGGUGCUCGAGUGGCGAACGGGUGAGUAACACGUGAGUAACCUGCCCUUGACUUUGGGAUAACUUCAGGAAACUGGGGCUAAUACCGGAUAGGAGCUCCUGCUGCAUGGUGGGGGUUGGAAAGUUUCGGCGGUUGGGGAUGGACUCGCGGCUUAUCAGCUUGUUGGUGGGGUAGUGGCUUACCAAGGCUUUGACGGGUAGCCGGCCUGAGAGGGUGACCGGCCACAUUGGGACUGAGAGACGGCCCAGACUCCUACGGGAGGCAGCAGUGGGGAAUAUUGCACAAUGGGCGGAAGCCUGAUGCAGCAACGCCGCGUGCGGGAUGACGGCCUUCGGGUUGUAAACCGCUUUCGCCUGUGACGAAGCGUGAGUUACGGUAAUGGGUAAAGAAGCACCGGCUAACUACGUG
This 468-nucleotide ribosomal RNA is filed under the name uncultured bacterium. RNAcentral describes it as "partial 16S ribosomal RNA". It matches the Rfam family "Bacterial small subunit ribosomal RNA", at positions 28 to 507 of the family's 1533-position model. The record is from RNAcentral.